Molecule: unclassified non-coding RNA, 849 nt
Filed under: Bombus terrestris (buff-tailed bumblebee)
Lineage: Eukaryota; Metazoa; Arthropoda; Insecta; Hymenoptera; Apidae
Description: misc RNA ENSBTSG00005028441.1
Source: RNAcentral
AGAAUCGUAUACGCCAGGCGCAUAACUUGCAACGUGAGCCAUGUAUCGGUUCUCCAGAAGAGAAUCGCGUGUGCCGAUGCGUUUCACGUCCGAUUAACGCGCAUAAGCUGUAAAACUCGGCAUCUGGCCGUCGACUUUCUACUUUCCUCUCGUCGAAUUACCGGGACACUGAUGGGUGGCCCACCGGUUUGGUUCCCUGCGGCAUCACUUCUCGUCGAACCGGUCACGACCAAACCAAUAACCGAAUUGCAACGAAAGUGCUUCCAGUGAUUUUCGCGCAGGAUCGAGGACGAACGAAAGGACCUGGGCUCUUUACACGUAAACCAAUGCACAGAAUCGAGGACGCUAGAGUCCCCACCGUUUUGCAACUUCAGCUGCGACGCUGCACUGCAGCAAGUGCCUCGAUUGCAGCGUCUAUAGUCCGCGUCCUUAACGUAACAAAGGAGAAUGUUAAAAAAAUGGUCAUUUUUCUAUCUUCUUGCGAACGAAAAAUUCUAGGAAAGCAUUGAAGAACGUGUCUCAAAGAACGAUACACGUUACUAGCAUACUGGCGUAGCUACGAUAACUUACGUUAUCUGAAAUAUGAUGGGGAAGUUGAAAAGAAUGAGAGCAAAGCUGAAAAAGUGGCAGCGAUCUAACUUAUCUAUGCGUUACACUUAAUCUUCGUUUCCUUCAAAUUCUGAACCAGUUACAGAAUAAUUUUCAUCUAUCUCGACAUGAUAAUUUUUCGGAAAUUCGAUUGAUAAAUCAAUGGAUGUUCGAAAUCCAGUAAAUAUGAAGUACCUUCUAUUCGUUGCUACGUGAGAAGAAUAUUACCGUACGUACGUACUUCGAAUUUGGCCGAUUCCA